This 254-nucleotide ribosomal RNA is filed under the name uncultured bacterium. RNAcentral's name for it is "partial 16S ribosomal RNA". It matches the Rfam family "Bacterial small subunit ribosomal RNA", at positions 524 to 776 of the family's 1533-position model. The record is from RNAcentral.
UACGUAGGGUGCGAGCGUUAAUCGGAAUUACUGGGCGUAAAGCGUGCGCAGGCGGUUAUUUAAGUCAGGUGUGAAAGCCCUGGGCUUAACCUAGGAAUGGCGCUUGAGACUGGAUAGCUUGGAGUGUGGCAGAGGGAGGUGGAAUUCCACGUGUAGCAGUGAAAUGCGUAGAGAUGUGGAGGAACACCGAUGGCGAAGGCAGCCUCCUGGGCCAGCACUGACGCUCAUGCACGAAAGCGUGGGGAGCAAACAGG